AUGGACAUUUUUCAUCAUCUGUGAUAUAUUUCCCUGAUCUCUCUUCCCAUCUCAUGUUCUCUCUUCCAAACCAACACAUGGAACCCUCUUGCACACCCAAAAAGUUAUUUUUUUCUUCUUCUACGUUAGUAUUGUUUGAAAAUUAGCAUGAUGCCCUCUUGUUUUGGAAACAAUCGAUGAGAUCUUUUGUGCUAAGUCAAGCAAAAUAUCCCCCAAAUACCUACCUUUAUCUUAAUCAAAGUCAUUCAUUCAAUCGUUCAUCAAAUACAGUCAAUUCCAAUGAAAAACCAACAACAGCAGCAUGCGUUGGUGGUGCACUUCUUUCAGCUUUCCUGCAGGUUGCAUUUGACAGGCUAGCUUCUCCUAAGGUUCUGCACUUCUUUCGUCGAAGGAAGCUCGAUGAAGCACUGCUCAGCAAAUUGAACAUCAAAAUGUUGUCCAUCAAUUCUCUUGCUGAUGAUGCAGAGCAAAAGCAGUUCCGAGAUACACGGAUCAAGGCAUGGCUUUUUGCUGUCAAAGAUGCUGUGCUUGACGCAGAGGACCUCUUGGAUGAAAUAGACUAUGAACUCACCAAAUGUGAAGUGGAAGCUCAGUCUGAAUCUCAAAGCCUUAGUAAAAAGGUAUCAAGUUUCUUCCAUUCUACUUUCACUUCAUUUAACAGGAAAAUUAACUCAGGCUUGAAACAAGUCCUCGAGAAGCUAGAAUAUCUCUCUAGCCAAAAGGGUGAUCUUGGUUUGAAAGAGGCUACUUAUUCUGGUCUUCGACCAGGCAGUGUAGCGCAACAAAAAUUGCCAUCAACUUCCUUGGUGGCUGAAAAUGUUAUUUAUGGAAGAGAUGAUGACAAAGAAACUAUCUUUAAUUGGCUCACAUAUGAAACUGACAAUCGUAACCAGUUAUCAAUACUUUCUAUUGUGGGCAUGGGUGGAGUGGGUAAGACCACACUUGCCCAACAUGUGUACAAUGACCCAAGGAUGGAGGAGGCUGAUUUUAGCAUCAAAGCUUGGGUUUGUGUUUCAGAUGAUUUUGAUGUUAUGGUGGUGACAACUACAAUUCUUGAGGCAAUCACUAAAUCCAUAGAUGAUAGUAGAAACCUAGAAAUGGCUCAUGGAAGACUGAAAGAAAAACUGUUGGGGAAAAAGUUCUUUCUCGUUUUGGAUGAUGUGUGGAAUGAAAGACGAGAGAAAUGGGAAGCUGUGCAAACUCCUCUUAAUUUUGGGGCAUCUGGAAGUAAAAUUCUUGUAACAACACGUAGUGAGAAAGUUGCUUCUACAAUGCGGUCAAGUAAAGUGCACCGCCUAAUGCACUUACAAGAAGAUCAUUGCUGGGAUGUUUUUGCAAAACAUGCACUCCAAGAUGAUCAUCCUCAAUUGAAUGCUGAACUGAAGGAUAUUGGCAUAAAGAUAGUUAAAAAGUGUAAAGGAUUACCUCUAGCCCUGAAAGCAAUUGGAAGUCUUCUGCGCACAAAGUCAUCUUUUUCGGAAUGGGAAUGUGUAUUGGUAAGCAAGAUAUGGGACACGCCAAUAGAAGAGAAUGAAAUUAUGCCUGCCCUUUUACUGAGCUAUCAUCACCUUCCUUCGCAUCUCAAGAGGUGUUUUGCUUAUUUUGCUUUGUUUCCCAAAGAUUACAAGUUUGACAAGCAGAGUAUAAUUUUGUUAUGGAUAGCUGAAAAUUUUCUACAAUGCCCCCAACGUAAUAAGAGUCCAGAAGAAAUUGGUGAAUUGUACUUUGAUGAUCUAUUAUCAAGGUCUUUCUUUCAACAGUCAAGUGGAUUGGAAUCAUGUUUUGUCAUGCAUGACCUUCUCAACGAUUUGGCAAAAUAUGUUUGUGGAGAUAUAUACUUCAACUUAGAAGUUGAUAAAGCACUGUGUAUACCAAAAAUGGCUCGUCAUUUUUCAUUUGCAAUCAAAGACGUUAAGUAUUUUGACAGUUUACAUGAAGCGAAAAGGUUGCGAACAUUUAUUCCACUUCCUACUUUUGUGAUAGUGUCCUAUUUCAACGAUCCAUGGCAAUGUAAGAUUCCAGUUCAUGAGUUGUUCUCCAAGUUUAAGUUCAUACACACCUUAUCUUUGUUUUGUUGUUCUGGCCUCCUAGAGGUGCCUGACUCAAUAGGUGAUUUUAAACAUCUACGUUCUUUAGACCUUUCCAGGACUGACAUAAGAAAACUACCCGAUUCAAGUUGUUUGCUCUACAACUUGCAAAUACUAAAGUUGAACUUUUGUCUCCUUUUGAAGGAGUUGCCUUCAAAUUUGUACAAACUCAACAAUUUACGUUGCCUUGAAUUUAUAGCUACUUCAGUGAGAAAGGUGCCGAUGCAUAUGGGGAAGAUGAAGAAUCUCCAAGUACUGAGUUCGUUCUAUGUUGGCAAAAGUAGCGAAUUUGGUAUUCAACAGCUCGUAGGGCUCAAUCUUCAUGGAGGGCUAUCAAUUGGUAAUAUGCAGAAUAUUGUGAAUCCCUCGGAUGCUUUACAAGUAGAUUUGAAAAAUAAAAAGCACCUUAUAAAGCUAGAGUUAGAAUGGAAUUCAAACCAUAUCCCAGACAAUCCAAGGAAUGAAAAACAAGUACUCGAGUAUCUACAACCUCCCAAACACUUAAAGAAUUUCUCAAUCAGUCACUAUGGUGGUACACAGUUUCCAAGUUGGUUAUUUGAUAAUACCUUAUCAAACUUGGUGUCACUAAGCUUGAUAGGCUGUAAGUAUUGCCUGCAUUUGCCUCCCCUCGGGCUUUUGCCAUUUCUAAAGCAGCUGGUGAUUAUAGAGCUUGAUGGGAUAGUGGCUGUUGGUGCUGAGUUCCAUGGGAGUAGCUCUUCUUCAUUUACAUGCUUGGAAACAUUGUACUUCUAUAAUAUGAAGGAGUGGGAAGAAUGGGAUUGUGAAACUGAUUUUCCACGUCUUCAACAUCUUUCUAUAGUACAUUGCCCCAAGCUCAAAGGGCUGCCAAAGCAACUUCUUCACGUAAAGCAAAUAAUUAUCUGUGAAUGUGAAAGGUUGACCAUUACCGGACACAACAUGGAAUCAUCCAUAACUAAUAAUUCUCUUGAAGUGUUGCACAUUUAUUCUUGUUUGUACAUGAAUAUUCCAUUGAGAGUUCGCUACAAUUUACUUGUAACACUGGAGAUAGAUGGAGCCUUUGACUCUCCAAUGACUUUUCCUCUAGAUUUCUUCCCAAAACUCUGUUCACUCAAACUCGGGUGUUGUAAUCUGCAAAUGAUUUCACAGGAUCACACUCAUAAUCAUCUCAAGGAUUUGUGUAUCAGCAACUCACCACAAUUUGAAUCAUUUCCCAGGGAAGGAUUAUCUGCCCCCAGGCUGGUAAAAUUUAGUAUUAAAGAAUUGAUGAACUUGAAAUUAUUGCCUAAACGCAUGGAUAUCCUCCUUCCAUCUCUUACAGACCUACAAAUAUUAGAUUGUCCACAAGUGGAGUUGUUCUCUGAUGGAGGUUUGCCAUCAAAUCUAAAUACCAUGGAUCUCUCAGCCUGCUCCAAAUUUAUGGCCUCAAUGAAAAUGGCUUUGGGAGCCAACAAUUCUCUAGAAGUAAUGUCUGUUCGAAAAUUGGAUGUGGAGUCUUUUCCUGAUGAAGGUUUCUUGCCUUUCUCUCUUACUUCUUUAGAAAUCAGGAACUGUUCAGAUCUAAAAAACCUUGACUACAACGGUAUCUGUCACCUCUCCUCUCUUCAGAAAUUGUUUUUGUUUAACUGCCCCAGCCUCCAAUGUUUACCAGAGGAGGGUUUGCCCAAUUCCAUUUUAGAACUUAAAAUUGUUGGCUGUCCAUUGCUUGAGCAAUGUCAAGGCUAAGACUGGGAAUUGAUUGGAGCUGAGAUAUGAACUCCAAGUUCGAAAUCACACAUCAGUUGUGAAGAUUUGUAGUAUCCUCAAGAUGAAUCAAUUAUUGCUUCAUUGGGCCAUCAGCUGCUCCAGGUUGCACAUAACUAAAAAAAAAGAAGAUAAAACUCAUACAGCCAUGCUUCUGAAGCUCACGUCAAAAUUUUUUCAGCAUGUACAUUCUGAAUCUGGAAAAUUGAGCAAACUUAAAGAAUAGAUUAGUUUACCCCAUAAAUUACAAAAAUGGGAUAGCUAACUUAAAAUUUACAAUUCAGGGGUAAGUUGUACGGAGUAGUGAUAAUUUCCAAAUUGAAGACAGUGUGAGUGAGGACGACUUCUACAUAUAAUUCUGAAAAGUUGAAGUUUUCAAGACUAAUGACUACUUCGUUGUAAAUAUGUUGAAUGAAAAUCAUUAAAAGUGGUAACAACUUUCAAUUUAUAUGAUGUCGUAUACGGUAGUGACGACUUUCAAUUGAACCAAAGUCGUCCUGACUCGUGACAACUUCAGUGUACAAUUUUUCAAGAUAAAGUCAUUGUUAGUGAUAACAACUUCCA
RNA transcript from Vigna radiata var. radiata (mung bean), 4373 nucleotides. It is a transcript of the gene named putative disease resistance RPP13-like protein 1, with no coding region annotated. The record is from RefSeq and is a predicted model, not a curated record. The transcript is spliced from 3 exons. NCBI's taxonomy places the organism in Eukaryota, Viridiplantae, Streptophyta, Magnoliopsida, Fabales, Fabaceae.